Cordylochernes scorpioides is the source of this 75-nucleotide non-coding RNA. The record is from the annotation of a GenBank genome assembly. Lineage: Eukaryota; Metazoa; Arthropoda; Arachnida; Pseudoscorpiones; Chernetidae.
UGCCCGGGUCAUUUGGCUAGUAUAAUCGAACCCGGGCCGCCCGCGUGGCAGGCGAGCAUUCUACCACUGAACCAC